RNAcentral lists this ribosomal RNA (446 nucleotides) under uncultured bacterium. RNAcentral's name for it is "SSU rRNA". It matches the Rfam family "Bacterial small subunit ribosomal RNA", at positions 26 to 518 of the family's 1533-position model. The record is from RNAcentral.
AGAGCGAACGCUGGCGGCAGGCUUAACACAUGCAAGUCGAGCGGGCGUAGCAAUACGUCAGCGGCAGACGGGUGAGUAACGCGUGGGAACGUACCUUUUGGUUCGGAACAACACAGGGAAACUUGUGCUAAUACCGGAUAAGCCCUUACGGGGAAAGAUUUAUCGCCAAAAGAUCGGCCCGCGUCUGAUUAGCUAGUUGGUGAGGUAACGGCUCACCAAGGCGACGAUCAGUAGCUGGUCUGAGAGGAUGAUCAGCCACAUUGGGACUGAGACACGGCCCAAACUCCUACGGGAGGCAGCAGUGGGAAUAUUGGACAAUGGGCGCAAGCCUGAUCCAGCCAUGCCGCGUGAGUGAUGAAGGCCCUAGGGUUGUAAAGCUCUUUUGUGCGGGAAGAUAAUGACGGUACCGCAAGAAUAAGCCCGGCUAACUUCGCGCCAGCAGCCGC